RNAcentral lists this ribosomal RNA (864 nucleotides) under Salmonella enterica subsp. enterica serovar Dublin. RNAcentral's name for it is "partial 23S ribosomal RNA". It matches the Rfam family "Bacterial large subunit ribosomal RNA", at positions 430 to 1274 of the family's 2925-position model. The record is from RNAcentral. Lineage: Bacteria; Pseudomonadati; Pseudomonadota; Gammaproteobacteria; Enterobacterales; Enterobacteriaceae.
UAUCCUGUCUGAAUAUGGGGGGACCAUCCUCCAAGGCUAAAUACUCCUGACUGACCGAUAGUGAACCAGUACCGUGAGGGAAAGGCGAAAAGAACCCCGGCGAGGGGAGUGAAAAAGAACCUGAAAUCGUGUACGUACAAGCAGUGGGAGCACAGGUUUACCUGUGUGACUGCGUACCUUUUGUAUAAUGGGUCAGCGACUUAUAUUCUGUAGCAAGGUUAACCGAAUAGGGGAGCCGGAGGGAAACCGAGUCUUAAUUGGGCGUUAAGUUGCAGGGUAUAGACCCGAAACCCGGUGAUCUAGCCAUGGGCAGGUUGAAGGUUGGGUAACACUAACUGGAGGACCGAACCGACUAAUGUUGAAAAAUUAGCGGAUGACCUGUGGCUGGGGGUGAAAGGCCAAUCAAACCGGGAGAUAGCUGGUUCUCCCCGAAAGCUAUUUAGGUAGCGCCUCGUGAAUUCAUCUCCGGGGGUAGAGCACUGUUUCGGCUAGGGGGCCAUCCCGGCUUACCAACCCGAUGCAAACUGCGAAUACCGGAGAAUGUUAUCACGGGAGACACACGGCGGGUGCUAACGUCCGUCGUGAAGAGGGAAACAACCCAGACCGCCAGCUAAGGUCCCAAAGUCAUGGUUAAGUGGGAAACGAUGUGGGAAGGCCCAGACAGCCAGGAUGUUGGCUUAGAAGCAGCCAUCAUUUAAAGAAAGCGUAAUAGCUCACUGGUCGAGUCGGCCUGCGCGGAAGAUGUAACGGGGCUAAACCAUGCACCGAAGCUGCGGCAGCGAACGUAUCACUUAAAGCGAUUCAGCGGGUUACGAUUGACGGAGCGAAGCGACGUCAAAGCGUAUACAAAGUCGAGUCGGUUUA